Molecule: ribosomal RNA, 497 nt
Filed under: uncultured bacterium
Lineage: Bacteria
Description: partial 16S ribosomal RNA
Rfam family: Bacterial small subunit ribosomal RNA
Source: RNAcentral
GUUGAACGCUGGCGGCAUGCCUAACACAUGCAAGUCGAACGAAAGGACGAGACAGCUGGCUGCCUGAUGGUCGCGUCGCACGGGGGAGUAACAUGUGGGGAAACCACCUAUAAGACUGGGGUAACUUCGGGAAACCGGUGCUAAAACCCGCAGAACGUUGCAACAGCAAAGUGCGAGAGUGACAGGCGGUCUUGCUGUCACUGAUACCUGAAUCCGCGCUGCAUUAGCUAGUUGGUAGGGUAACGGCUUACCAAGGCAACGAUGCAUAGCCGACCUGAGAGGGUGAUCAGCCACACUGGAACUGAGACACGGUCCAGACUCCUACGGGAGGCAGCAGUAGGGAAUCUUGCGCAAUGGGCGAAAGCCUGACGGAGCCAUGCCGCGUGUGUGAUGAAGGUCUUCGGGUCGUAAAGCUCUGUUAGUAGGGAGGAACAGAUUUGUGUGUAUCUCUGCACUUCUUGACGUUACCUAAAGAGAAAGCCACGGCUAACUCCGUG